CCAAUAGCGUAUAUUAAAGUUGUUGCAGUUAAAAAGCUCGUAGUUGAAUUUCGGGAUCUAUCCGUUGGUCGGGCUUUUGGGUCCGUACUGGCGUUAUGGAUUCCUACCUUCUGAAUAACCGGCAUGCCAUUAAUUUGGUGCGCUGGGGAAGCAGGACUGUUACCUUGAAAAAAUUAGAGUGCUUAAAGCAGGCUAUCGCCUGAAUACAUUAGCAUGGAAUAAUGAAAUAGGACGGCAUGGUUCUAUUUUGUUGGUUUCUAGGAUCACCGUAAUGAUUAAUAGGGAUAGUUGGGGGCAUUAGUAUUCAACUGUCAGAGGUGAAAUUCUUGGAUUUAUUGAAGACUAACUUCUGCGAAAGCAUUUGCCAAGGAUGUUUUCAUUAAUCAAGAACGAAAGUUAGGGGAUCGAAGACGAUCAGAUACCGUCGUAGUCUUAACCAUAAACUAUGCCGACUAGGGAUCGGACGAUGUUAAUUUUUUAAUGACUCGUUCGGCGCCUUACG
RNAcentral lists this ribosomal RNA (502 nucleotides) under uncultured Glomeromycotina. RNAcentral's name for it is "partial small subunit ribosomal RNA". It matches the Rfam family "Eukaryotic small subunit ribosomal RNA", at positions 591 to 1092 of the family's 1831-position model. Lineage: Eukaryota; Fungi; Glomeromycota. The record is from RNAcentral.